AUUGAACGCUGGCGGCAGGCUUAACACAUGCAAGUCGAGCGAGUGGCGGACGGGUGAGUAAUGUCUGGGAAACUGCCUGAUGGAGGGGGAUAACUACUGGAAACGGUAGCUAAUACCGCAUACCAUCAGAUGUGCCCAGAUGGGAUUAGCUUGUUGGUGGGGUAACGGCUCACCAAGGCGACGAUCCCUAGCUGGUCUGAGAGGAUGACCAGGCAACCCGGAACUGGGAAAAGGUCCCGACGCCUACGGGAGGCAGUAGGGGGGAAUAUUGGACAAUGGGCGCAAGCCUGAGGCAGCCCAGCCGGGUGUGUGAAGAAGGCCUUCGGGUUGGAAAGUACUUUCAGCGGGGAGGCGUUACCCGCAGAAGAAGCACCGGCUAACUCCGUGCCAGCAGCCGCGGUAAUUC
This 406-nucleotide ribosomal RNA is filed under the name uncultured bacterium. RNAcentral describes it as "partial 16S ribosomal RNA". It matches the Rfam family "Bacterial small subunit ribosomal RNA", at positions 29 to 526 of the family's 1533-position model. The record is from RNAcentral.